AAUCAACAUGCUGGCGGGAAAGAA
Molecule: non-coding RNA, 24 nt
Filed under: Cricetulus griseus (Chinese hamster)
Lineage: Eukaryota; Metazoa; Chordata; Mammalia; Rodentia; Cricetidae
Source: RNAcentral